This 851-nucleotide small RNA is filed under the name Pan troglodytes (chimpanzee). RNAcentral's name for it is "processed transcript". Lineage: Eukaryota; Metazoa; Chordata; Mammalia; Primates; Hominidae. The record is from RNAcentral.
UUGUCUCAGAGAAUUUAUUGUCCUGACAGCAGAGGCCGAUGGUGGGAUCGACUGGCCCUUAAUUUACACCAGCACUUGAAGCGCCUGGAACCGGAGCCUGAUGUGUGACCAUGCUCUCUGCCAGACUAUCAAGUGCAUCACAGAGGGGCUAGCGGAUCCAGAAGUCAGAACGGGACACCGCCUUUCACUGUAUCAGCGAGCCGUGCGCCUGCGAGAGUCUCCGAGCUGUAAAAAGUUCAAGCACCUCUUCCAGCAGCUCCCAGAAAUGGCUGUGCAAGAUGUGAAACACGUGACCAUCACAGGCAGGCUGUGCCCACAGCGUGGGAUGUGCAAGUCUGUGUUUGUGAUGGAGGCCGGGGAGGCCGCUGAUCCCACCACGGUCCUGUGCUCUGUGGAGGAGCUGGCACUGGCCCAUUACAGACGCAGCGGUUUUGACCAGGGGAUUCAUGGCGAAGGGUCCACCUUCAGCACCCUGUAUGGCCUCCUCCUGUGGGACAUCAUCUUCAUGGAUGGGAUUCCGGAUGUCUUCAGAAACGCCUGUCAGGCAUUCCCCCUGGACUUGUGCACAGACAGCUUCUUCACAAGCAGACGCCCAGCCCUUGAGGCCAGGCUGCAGCUGAUUCAUGAUGCCCCCGAGGAGAGCCUGCGGGCCUGGGUGGCAGCCACGUGGCAGGAGCAGGAAGGCAGAGUGGCUUCCCUUGUCAGCUGGGAUCGCUUCACGUCUCUUCAGCAAGCUCAGGAUCUUGUCUCCUGCCUGGGGGGCCCUGUGCUCAGUGGUGUGUGCAGGCACCUGGCUGCUGACUUUCGACACUGUCGAGGGGGCCUCCCCGACCUGGUGGUGUGGAACUCCC